Molecule: long non-coding RNA, 397 nt
Organism: Thalassophryne amazonica
Lineage: Eukaryota; Metazoa; Chordata; Actinopteri; Batrachoidiformes; Batrachoididae
Exons: 5
Source: RefSeq, a predicted model, not a curated record
GGCAAAACCUCAACGCUGCUCCUUCUCGAUUUCAGCAGACAAAAUCUGGGAUAGCGCUGCUGUACAAUGAGGAGAGCGACAAUACGUACGAUGUCUGCCUGAAGCUCACCAAAGAGCUUUUAACCAUCCAGAAGCUGGAUGUGGUUUGCACACGAGGAAGCGAGUCCCACGUAAAUCACAGAACUGUUGUACUGCGGAGACAGGCGGCUGGCGGUCUGGGCUUAAGCAUCAAAGGCGGGGCUGAGCACAACGUGCCUGUAGUCAUUUCAAAGAUUUUUAAAGAUCAAGUAGCUGACCAGACAGGGAAGCUGUUUGUCGGAGACGCCGUCUUACAGGUCAACGGCAUCAAUGUGGAGCACUGCACCCAUGAAGAAGUUGUGAGUAUGAAUGCAAUUAC